This is a long non-coding RNA of Dreissena polymorpha, 3657 nucleotides long. RefSeq lists it as uncharacterized. The transcript has 4 exons. The record is from RefSeq and is a predicted model, not a curated record. NCBI's taxonomy places the organism in Eukaryota, Metazoa, Mollusca, Bivalvia, Myida, Dreissenidae.
UGACGUCACUUCGUGAUCGACAUCGAUGAAACGCUUGCUUGCGCUGUAGAUGUUAUUUUCUGUGCAAAUGCAAGCGUCUAUUGAUAACGAAACGAUAAUUUGUCAACAAUGAGAAUCAGAUACUUGGCUUAAUAAUUUUCAUUUAAAAUGUCUAAUUUGGAUAUAAUUCGGAAUACAAAACGAAACUUAAAAGGUAUUUAAAACAACAACGUUCAAAAGAACAAUGUGGAUUUCAAUAGAAAGACUAUUUCCACCGACAAUCAGGAUUUCCGGUAUGACAACUGUUUUUUUGACGAUUUUUCUAUCGGUUCGUCGGUAAGCGUGACCACAUGUGACAACAGCGAUGCUAGUUGGAUAUAAAAUUGGUAGACGUGUCGUUGAACUCGACACAUUGACCGAAUCGCUUUUAGCAUGCAGUGCUUGUCAAGUGCCCAUGAAUUUACUUAACACUGUAGAAAACAUGGAUUUCAGACAGGCAUGUGUUUUGGACAUACAGUUUAGCAAUUGUGGUGCAGUAAAUAAUGCGGCUACUGGACGGAAACAUGGCAGAGUUUAUGACAUGAUCACAAAGCUUGCAUUUGGGUAAAUCAAAAACUGGGUGUUUCACCUGGGACUUUCACAUCGAAACUGGCCCUUCUCCAUGACCUUCAGCACAAAAAAAGAAAGGCUAUAGCUGUUACUCGUGCAGCAAAACAGUGACGCAUAAGACUUAAAACUCGAACGGCAUUCAAAGGACAGUGCAAGAAGUAAGAGCGGGACCAACAUACAGUUCAAACAUAGAGGACCAAGACGUUGAAGUUACAACUAUCCCCCCACCUAUACCCAAGCCUGGUCCAGCAGGGCUAGACACUACUGGGAAGGAAUUUGUUUUCUUUGAUUUGGAAACAAGAGGGUUAGAGCACACUUCUCACAUAAUUCAGAUAGCUGCAGUGCAUUCAACUGGUCAAUUUUCAACAUAUGUGAUUCAUGAGAAGAAGAUUUCCUUGCGAGCGUCUGAAAUAACUGGAGUGACAGUUGUUAGCGACUCUAUGCUUGUCAAGAGACAAACAGUAACAGCUGUCCCCAUCAAAUCUGCAUUGACAAGUUUUAUAACAUUCUUACAGAAAUGUUCACCAAUUAUUUCAGUUGGGCAUAAUAUAGAGUCUUUUGAUUGUAAAGUGUUGCUCCGUGCUAUCCAUACUUGUUGAAAAAUGUUUGAGUUUCAGCAAAAUAUUUGUGGAUUUUUAGAUACUUAAAAAUGUUAAAGGAAAUAUUACCAAAUAUGAAAUCAUAUAAGCGGGAACAUUUAGUUAAAGACGUCAUUGGUGAAUUAUACAUGGCACAUGGCGCUAUACAGGAUAUUUUAGCUUUACAAAAGUGAGUGAACUCUGUUCCUCUUGACCAAAAAUUGUUAACAAAUAUUCAUUCAGCUUUUACCGAGCAGUGUUAACAUACAAUGUGUAACUAAAUGUUGCUUCCAACAUCAAAUCUUUACAAACCAUAAUUGAUACAAAAGUUAUAAGUCAAGGUGUUGCAAGGAAAGUUGCAGGAAGUGGAUUUCAACUUAAACAUUUGAGUCCUGUAUCAAAAAGAAACGGACUGAGUGGUUUGAGGAGCCCCCUGUCAGAGGUUACAAACGGACAAAUCAGAGUAACAAAAUCAGAGAAAAUAAUAUGUACAAUAGCGAGUUAUUUGUUGCCUGGCAUCUAACCAAUUGUAAUUUGCAUCUUGUAUAUAGAUAAGCUAUGAAAUCUAAUAGCUGUUACAUAAUUGUUUUUCCUUCUCGAUGACGAACAUAGUUGUGAUUCUUAUGUCAGUUGUAUUUCUCAUGUUUCACCUAGGUUGUAAGAUAUUUUUGGCAGUGCAUUAAACCAAAGGCCAGCGGGGCUUAUGUUAUGAUUCUGUGUCCGUCGUGCGUGCGUGCCUGAACGUUUCCUUUAAACAUCUUCUUCUCCUAAACUACUGGUCCAAUUGUGAUGAAAUUUCUUAGGAAUGUUCCUCUUUCAACAUUGUUCAAAUUAUGCCCCUGGGGUCAAAUUUGAACCUGCCGCGGGGUCACAAAAUUGAACAUAUGCUUAUAUAGGGUCUAUUUUGUGAAAACUUCACAUAUUUUUUCGUCCAUAACCAUUGGGCCUUGGGCUUCCAAAUUUGGUAUGUAGUGGCAUCUUAUAGUCCUCUACCAAGUUUGUUCAAAUUAUGCCCCUAGGGUCAAGUUUGACCCUGCCCUGAGGGUCACAAAAUUGAACAUAUGCUUAUAUUAGGCAUUUUUUGUGAAAACUUUAAAAAUCUUCUUGUUCAUAUUAGUAUGGCAUAGGGCUACCAAAUUUGGUAUGUAGUGACAUGUAAUAGUUCUCUACCAAGUUUGUUCAAAUUAUGCCCCUUGGGUUAAAUUUGAAACUGCCCCGGGGGUUACAAAACUGAACAUUGUCCAUAUCUAUUGGGCCUAGGGCUACCAAAUUUGGUAUGUAGUGACAUCUUAUAAACCUUUACCAAAUUUGUUCAAAUAAUGCCUCUGGGGUCAACUUUGACCCUGCCGCGGGGGGUCACAAAAUUUAAUAAACGCUUAUAAAGCGCCUAUUUUGUGAAAUCUUUAAAAAUCUUGUCGAAAACCAUUCUGACUAUGGCUACCAAAUUUGGUAUGCAGGAACAUCUUAAAGUCAUCUACCAAGUUUGUUACUUUGGGUCAAAUUUGACCCUGACCCGCGGGUCACAAAAUUGAACAUUAUAUACGCUUGUAUCUUGCUUAUUUUGUGAAAACUUUAAAAAUAUUCUUGUCCUUAACUCUACAUCUAAGACUUAGGGCCACCACAUUUUGUAUGGAGUGAGAUAUAGUAGUCCUCUACAAAGUUUGCUCAAAUUAUGCCCCUGGAGUUAAAUUUGACCCAGCCCAGGUGGUCACAAAAUUGUACAUGUGCUUAAAUAGGGCCUAUAUUUAAGUAUCUGCACAUGCGGAGAAUAUUUGUUUCAGUCUUUUUUUCAGCAGUGGAGCGAUACAGGGCCAUCAUGGCCUCUUGUCUUUAAAUACACAUCACACAGUUCUAAAAAUAAUUUUAAAAUACCUAGUACAUAUGUUCAAUUUACAACCAACAACAUGGGUAACAGGUGGGUGGGGUAAUUUAAGAUGUUUAUUUGAACAUCAACAUUGUUUUUUCAGUUGUUACAUCUGAAAUAUGUUCAUAACAAUAUACAUUAUAAAUAUUUCUACGUGUAUCACAUUUCAGUUGAUAAUUUAAUUGUUAUGGAGCAGUUAUUAUAUAGAUAUGUUUUAAUUACUAUUACAAUGUUAGUCAUUGUAUUUUUGAAAUUAAGUCCAUAUUAAAAUUUCUAUAGCAAAAAAAAAUCCACGGUGACCUAUCAAUUUCUUUACUUCAUUUUAAUGCUUAGCUAGUUUCCUUUAAUUAUUGAGAACUUCAAAUGAAUAUGAAUAUUACAUCAACAUAAAUAUGUAUCUGUAUUGCAUGUUCUCUAUUUUGAACUGUGCAAUAAAAAAUUCAAAACAAACAAAAAACUAGUCAUACUUAUUUCUCAUUAUUUUUUACGAUUUCCAUAAUUUUUGGUUUUAAAACUGUUCAAUAUGAUAAUACACAUGUUACAGUUGCUAAUCUAAUGCAAUCUCAAUACUAUUAUGCCAUUUUAAAUGUAUUACACAAAAACAUUUUACCGUACCCCCAAAUUUAU